UCCUACGGGAGGCAGCAGUAGGGAAUCUUCCGCAAUGGACGAAAGUCUGAUCCAGCCAUACCGCGUGUGUGAUGAAGGCCUUAGGGUCGUAAAGCUCUUUCGCCUGUGAUGAUAAUGACAGUAGCAGGUAAAGAAACCCCGGCUAACUCCGUGCCAGCAGCCGCGGUAAUACGGAGGGGGUUAGCGUUGUUCGGAAUUACUGGGCGUAAAGCGCGCGUAGGCGGAUUAGAAAGUUGGGGGUGAAAUCCCGGGGCUCAACCCCGGAACUGCCUCCAAAACUGCUAGUCUAGAGUUCGAGAGAGGUGAGUGGAAUUCCGAGUGUAGAGGUGAAAUUCGUAGAUAUUCGGAGGAACACCAGUGGCGAAGGCGGCUCACUGGCUCGAUACUGACGCUGAGGUGCGAAAGUGUGGGGAGCAAACAGGAUUAGAUACCCUGGUAGUCCACACCGUAAACGAUGAAUGCCAGUCGUCGGAUAGUAUACUAUUCGGUGACACACCUAACGGAUUAAGCAUUCCGCCUGGGGAGUACGGUCGCAAGAUUAAAACUCAAAGGAAUUGACGGA
Molecule: ribosomal RNA, 562 nt
Filed under: uncultured bacterium
Lineage: Bacteria
Description: bacterial SSU rRNA
Rfam family: Bacterial small subunit ribosomal RNA
Source: RNAcentral